This 468-nucleotide long non-coding RNA is filed under the name Hordeum vulgare. RNAcentral describes it as "long non-coding RNA (HVUL_LNC019043)". The record is from RNAcentral. Lineage: Eukaryota; Viridiplantae; Streptophyta; Magnoliopsida; Poales; Poaceae.
GCUAGAUCUGGUGGGGGGCUGGCGAAGCACGGGCGGACACGGGAUUGCGGCUUGAGGCGGCGGCGAGAACGGGGCACCAGCAGCCGAGGGCGCGACAGUAGGGAUCUCCGGCGGCGGGGCACCGACUGCAGGUCGGCAGUGGGAGAAGAGGUUGUGUCAGCCGGGCCUGGCGAAGGAGUGGGUCGUGUUGGUGCUUGUGGGCUGGAUGGGGCGCUCGUUGCUUCGGAUCAGGGCACGCGCUCGCCUCGUCCCUACCGUGAACCCGAGAAAAGCAACCGACGGUGCCACUCUGGCACACGGGCGGCGCGUUUCCGCGGGGAGAGGCGGAUCAGGGCAAGGCCAACGUCGAGGGGUAGAUCCGGUAGGGGCCCUACUAGAAAAAAAGCCUAUAGCUAAUAUGGACAUUAAUGGCGCACCAUGCAUGUGGUGCACAACUGCUAUAUAGGAGUGGCGCACCACCUACUGGUG